AGCACUGCAUGGUAUCUGCAGCCAGCCGUGACUCUGGUUGGAGUGUUCAUUGGUCAGUGCAACCUGGCAUAUGACAUUGUUGGUAUACAUUUUUUUUUGUUACCUUUAUUUUUCUAGGCAAGUCAGUUAAGAA
RNAcentral lists this small nucleolar RNA (133 nucleotides) under Hucho hucho (huchen). Its description in RNAcentral is "Small nucleolar RNA SNORA8 (ENSHHUG00000044161.1)". It matches the Rfam family "Small nucleolar RNA SNORA8". Rfam says of the family: ACA8 is a member of the H/ACA class of snoRNA that guide the sites of modification of uridines to pseudouridines. The record is from RNAcentral. Lineage: Eukaryota; Metazoa; Chordata; Actinopteri; Salmoniformes; Salmonidae.